RNAcentral lists this ribosomal RNA (521 nucleotides) under uncultured bacterium. RNAcentral's name for it is "bacterial SSU rRNA". It matches the Rfam family "Bacterial small subunit ribosomal RNA", at positions 777 to 1296 of the family's 1533-position model. The record is from RNAcentral.
AAUAGAUACCCCGGUAGUCCUGGCCCUAAACGAUGAAUGCUUGGUGUGGCGGGUAUCGAUCCCUGCCGUGCCGUAGUUAACGCGUUAAGCAUUCCGCCUGGGGAGUACGGUCGCAAGGCUGAAACUCGAAAGGAAGUUGACGGGGGCCCGCACAAGCGGUGGAGCAUGUGGUUCAAUUCGACGCAACGCGAAGAACCUUACCUGGGCUCGAAAUGCAGGGGACCAUCGGCGAAAGCCGACUUCCGCAAGGACCGCUGCAUAGGUGCUGCAUGGCUGUCGUCAGCUCGUGUCGUGAGAUGUUGGGUUAAGUCCCGCAACGAGCGCAACCCUUGUCCUCUGUUGCCAUCAGGUCAAGCUGGGCACUCUGAGGAGACCGCCGGUGACAAACCGGAGGAAGGUGGGGAUGACGUCAAGUCAGCAUGGCCUUUAUGUCCAGGGCUACACACGUGCUACAAUGGCCGGUACAAAGCGCUGCAAGCCCGCGAGGGUGAGCUAAUCGCAUAAAGCCGGUCUCAGUUCGG